RNAcentral lists this long non-coding RNA (664 nucleotides) under Sus scrofa (pig). Its description in RNAcentral is "lncRNA (ENSSSCG00005017238.1)". Lineage: Eukaryota; Metazoa; Chordata; Mammalia; Artiodactyla; Suidae. The record is from RNAcentral.
AUGCAAGAACCUGACCCCAGGGGCUGGGGAGAUCCGGUUGCAACUAGCUGUGCAGACUGGCCGGUGGGUGUUGGAGCAUCGGCCAAGGAUGCAGACAAGCUCAGCACCAUCAGCAGCAGCUCAGGGGACGCAGCAUUGAGCCUUCACGUGGCUGACCGCGUCUGUGUCCCUCCUGUGCCGGCGGCCAUGGAAUCUGAAGAGCAUCUGGGGACUGCUGUGUGUGUGGCUGGGUGUCCAGAGCCUGGCUCUCUGGACAGGAAGCAUCUGUGCUCAGAGGCAGGCUUUCCCCAACUCCUGGGUUCUCCUCUGGAGCUGGCGGCGUGAUUCUGCUGUAGGACGGACGGACGGAAAUCCCCCUCCAAGUGCUGUGAGCCAGGUACUCGCCCAUGAGCUCCUGCGACGCUCUGACGGGGAUUUUAGAGGGAAAAAACACAUGACCUCCUGCCACUGCUAAGGAGACAUGAUUUGGAGUCUAGGUAAUUGCUUUCAGGGGUGUCUUUGAAAAGCUCCUUGCUAUUUGGCUAAUAAUGGUCAAAACAACAAGUUAAACUUCAUCGUGAUAAGAACAUAGAAUGUUCUUCAUAAGAAGCAAUCAAGGCAUAUUACACAAGUCUAUUCAACAGGUAACUCCCUUAGAUAUCUGGGCCUAUAUUUUACUAUUAAC